RNAcentral lists this ribosomal RNA (361 nucleotides) under uncultured eukaryote. RNAcentral's name for it is "LSU rRNA". It matches the Rfam family "Bacterial large subunit ribosomal RNA", at positions 2126 to 2486 of the family's 2925-position model. The record is from RNAcentral.
GGCUUUGUUUGCGCAGGAUAGGUGGGAGGCGUUGAAGAUUUUCUUGCGGGGAGAUUGGAGCCGUUGGUGAGAUACCACUCUAACAAUGCUAGGAUUCUAACCCUAUACCGUUAUCCGGUUAGGGGACAGUUUCAGGUGGUCAGUUUGACUGGGGCGGUCGCCUCCCAAAAGGUAACGGAGGCGUGCAAAGGUUUCCUCAGGCUGGUCGGAAAUCAGUCGUAGAGUGUAAAGGCAUAAGGAAGCUUGAUUGUGAGACCUACAAGUCGAACAAAGACGAAAGUCGGCCUUAGUGAUCCGACGGUUCCGAGUGGAAGGGCCGUCGCUCAACGGAUAAAAGUUACUCUAGGGAUAACAGGCUGAA